Molecule: long non-coding RNA, 9584 nt
Filed under: Homo sapiens (human)
Lineage: Eukaryota; Metazoa; Chordata; Mammalia; Primates; Hominidae
Description: non-protein coding lnc-CALM2-2:13
Source: RNAcentral
GCAGUCCCCUGGGCUUCCUGCAGGGACCUGGAUUCUUAGUAUUUCAGGCUGCUGUCCCUUUUUUUUUUUCAUUUCCUUUUUGUUUUUGUUGUUGAUGUGACCGCGUGUCCACAACCCUGGGAUUCCCUCGCCCUCAGAUUCCAGAAUCCAAUUUCUUGGAUUUCAGUGUUUUUAAGGUGGGAGGUCUCGCUAUGCUUCCCAGGCUGGACUCAAAUUCCUGGGCUCAAGUGAUUCCCCCGCCUCAGCCUCCUGAGUAGCUGGGACUACAGAUAUGGCAUGUCAGUCUGGUGGUCUAGCCAGAGGAAGACUCCUGGAGCUGGUGAACUGUGCAUGGAUAUGCAGUCACGGGCAGCCCACCUCCUACUCCUCACCCUCCCUGUGCCUGUGAGGGUCUGCACUCACCCUGGUCUUGCUUUAUUGCCCAGGCUGGAGUACAGUGGCGCAAUCACGGCUCACUGCAGCCUCAACCUCUUGGGCCCGAGCAAUCUUCCCACCUUGGUCUCCUAAAGUGCUGGGAUAACAGGCAUGAGCCACCACAUCUGGCUGAGGCCCCACAUUUUCAUUUUGUGCUGAGACUUGUAAAUUAGGUAGCUGGUCCUGGCUGUAGCAGAUGGUAUAGAUUCUUUUUCUGGCUCUGUUUUUGUGACAUCUCAACUUACUGGGCUCUUAUUAAAGGUGAUUUAGGUGACUUAUCAACUUUUCAUGAGUACAGAUGAAGAACUCUUCUAGGGCAGGGGUCCCCAACCCUUGGGCCACAGACCAGUACUGGCCUAUUAGGAGCCAGGCCGCACAGCAGGAGGUGAGUGGCAGGCAAGCAAAUCAAGCUUCAUCUGUAUUUACAGCCACUCCCCAUCACUAGCAUUAUUGCCUGAGCUUGGCCUCCUGUCAGAUCAGUGGCGACCUUGAUUGUCAUAGGAGCGUGAACCCUCUAGUGAACUGCGCAUGGCAGAGAUCUAGGUUGCACUCUCCUUGUGAGAAUCUAAUGCUUGAUGAUCUGUCACUGUCUCCCAUCACUCCGAGAUGGGAUCGCCUAGUUGCAAGAAAACAAGUUCAAGGCUCUCACUGAUUUUGCCUUAUGGUGAGUUGUAUAAUUAUUUCAUUAUAUAUUACAAAGUAAUAAUAAUAGAAAUAAAGUGCACAAUAAAUGUAAUGUACUUGAAUCAUCCCUAAACUAUCCCCUGCCGCCCUAGUCUGUGGAAAAAUGGUCUUUCAUGAAACUGGUCCCUGUUGCCUAAAAGGUUGGGACUGCUGCUCUAGAAGGUAUGGGAUUGGGAGGUGGGGGUCACACAGAUAGCCACUGACAACCUGAGAAUAGUGACAUGGGCCUGUAAAAACAGAUCAAUAGGUAUCUGUGGAAGGUAUUGAUGAAUACAUGAAUGAAUGAAUGAAACAACAAACUAAGAAAAAUGGCAUGGCAUGCAUGAAUGUGUGAUGGGCUCAAAAUAUGAUCCUCAUAGGGAUAUUUGCCUUAGAAAAAGGAGGCAAAGGCUAAGCUGGAAAAAUCUGUGGCAAUUGAGAGCCCUUGGGGGCUCUGGGUAUGGGUGGGAGGAAUCUAAAGUCUCUCUGUAGAGACUGGUCUUGGGCCAUCCAAUCUUCUCUGCCCGCUACAGCUAAGCCUUUUUCUGCCCACUACAGCUUCCCACAUGCUGCUUCAAUGUUGAUAUCUUGAAGAGGUUCCAGCCUGGCAUGGUGGCUCACACCUGUAAUCCCAGCACUCUGGGAGUUCAAGGUGGGAGGAUUGCUUGAGCCCAGGAGUUCAAGAACAGCCUAGGCAACCUAGUGAGACCACAUCUCUACAAAAAAUUUAAAAAUUAGCUCAACGUGGUGGUGUGUGUCCAUAGUCCCAGCUACUCAGGAGACUGAGAUAGGAGGAUCACUGGAGCCCACAGGCUACAGUGAGCAAUGAUUGUGCCACUGCACUCUAGCCUGGGUGACAGAGCAAGACAUUGUCGCCCAGAAAAAACAAAAAGAGAAAAUAGAAGAGGUUCUUACUGUACAAUAGGACUUUUUUUUUUCUUUUUUGGAGUCAGAGUCUUGCUUUGUCACCCAGGCUGGAGUGCAAUCGCACGAUCUCAGCUCACUGCAGCCUCCGCCUCCUGGGUUCAAGCGAUUCUUCUGCCUCAGCAUCCUGAGUAGUUGGGGUUACAGGCAUGGGCCAGCACGCCCGGCUAAUUUUUAUAUUUUUAGUAGAUGGGGUUUCACCAUAUUGGCCAGGCUGGUCUUGAACUCCUGAUCUCAAGUGAUCUACCUGCCUCGGCCUCCCAAAGUGAUAGGAUCACAGGCGUGAGCCACCUCACCCAGCCACAAUAAGAGCUUUUUAAUGAGAAGAAGACACAAGUCUUGAUUGAGAAUUUCUCUUCCUGAGAGGAAGUACCAGCAUGUUAUGGACCUUAGCUGAUUUGUCUUUAAAAAUCUCAAGCUGUAAUAAUUCCCAGUUGCUCAGUGCACAGUGAAUGAGGCUGAUAUUUAAACAGAACGCCUCAAAGGCACCCGCUGUGUCCACACUUUCUCCCUGCCUGUCCUAUGCCUCUCCAGGUGAUGUCCAUCUUCUCCUUGAAGCCCUCUCUGGCUGCUCCAGUCCCUGAGCUUUCCUUCCUGCACUCAUACAGCAUGAGGAAGGCUCCAUCUUUUUCUAGAUGUGCUAUUUUUUUUAGCAUUUGCUGUGUGCACUUUAGAGGCUCAUUGCCUCUUUGAGACCAAGGAUGGCACUGUCCCUUCUCUCUAGUUGCUCUGAGUGCCAAGCACAGCCCUGAACACCAAAUACUUUGACUCUUCUGUGGCUACUCAACCCUCCUGGCUGUUCCUUCAUCACCCUGGACCGGCCCCCACUCCAGGGUCUUUGCACUUGCUCUCCCUCUGCUUAGAAAGCCCUUCUCCCUGCAAUCUGCAGGGGCUUGAUUACUCUUCUCUUUCAGGCCUUUGCUCAAAUGUCACCUCAUCAAUGCACCCUUCUCUGACCAUCCUAUUGAAUAUUCCAAAUCUUUUUUUUUUUUUUUUUUUUUGAGACAGAGUCUUGCUCUUGUCGCCCAGGCUGGAGUGCAGUGGCACGAUCUUGGCUCACUGCAACCUCUGCCUCCUGGGUUCAAGUGAUUCUCAUACCUCAGCAUCCUCAGGAGCUGGGAUUACAGGCGCCCGCCAUCACACCCGGCUAAUUUUUGUAGUUUUAGUAGAGGCAGGGUUUUGCCAUGUUGGCCAGGCUAGUCUCAAACUCCUAACCUCACGUGAUCCACCCGCCUUGGCCUCCCAAAGUGCUGGGAUUACAGGUGUGAGCAGGCCAGGAACUAUUGUGCCAUGGAUAUUGUUGGUAGCCUAUCCAUCUUCUAUGUCCACAUCUGCAGGGGAAGGGGACCCUACCCUCAGCUCCUGGGGUGGUCCCUGGUUGGCACAGUCCAUUCUCCUGAGCACAGUCACAGUCUUCAGAGGGGCACCUGGUACCUGAGCUGUCCAAUCGGGGAGAUUCUUGGGACUCUCACCAGUAAUGUUGGUGUAGACUUGUUUCCUGUUCUUCCUGGAGACCUUGUUGGCCUGACUGAGCCAUCUGGCCACCAGAGUGAGGAUGUGGACAACAUAAAGCAGAGGGCAGAACCGAGGGAACCCCAGAUAAGGGGAGCCAGACCUGGAUUAAGGCAACUCUGAAAGGCAAGACUCUCUGGAUACUUUUUAAGGCACUUGGGGACUAAAAUAAUAGAGAGUCUAACAAAAAAAAUUUAAGAUGUCCAUUAUAUUGUUCAAAGUAUAAAGAAAUAUGGAAACUCCUUUGCUUACAAACUUCCAGCUUCCAAUUAAGCAGAGACCCCAAAGCUAUAGCCCAAAGCAAAAGUAUGUUGCCUUUAGUAGGGGGCACCUGUCGCCGACUCCCAGGAGUGUGGAGUUGGGAACUAGUUGGCAUUUUCAGUUUGUUCUAGAAGUCCAGGACUAUGUAUCUUGUCUUCUUAACCUGAAUGGGAUUCUCCCCAGUUCAGGGAACCAGCUGUGAGCUUUUUUUUUUUUUUUUUUUUGAGACAGGGUCUCACUCUGUUGCCCACGCUGGAGUGCAGUAGUACAAUCAUGGCUCACUGCAGCCUCGACCUUCUGGGCUCAAGCAAUCCUCCUGCCUCAGCCUCCCAAGUAGCUGGGACUACAGGCAUGUGCCAACACGUCCAGCUAAUUUUUGUGUUUUUUGUAGAGAUGGGGUUUCACCUUGUUGCUCAGUCUGGUCUCAGACUCCUGGACUCAAGUGAUCUGCCUGCCUCAGCCUCCAGAAUUGCAGGGAUUACAAGCGUGAGCCACCACACCUGAGUUCUCUCUUAUUGUAAUGAAAGUUUUCAGGGGAUCCACAUUUCAGCUCCCUGUACCCCUGUAAUCACAAGAGGGACCAAUGCUGUAAUGUCCUCUUAGCAAAUAGCCAAGAGCACACAGAUCUGACACACGUGGAAGGUAUUGUGAGGCUGUGUUCUGAAAAGGAAUAGUAAACUAGGAAAAGUUUCUCUUCAAACAAACAAACAAAAACCUGCCCUCUGACAAGCAGGUGCUUCUCUCAGGUUCUUGGCUUCCCAGUUUACUACCUGGCAUAUCUGUAGCAAAUGGUCGCUGAGAACCUGGAAGCAAUUCCUCAUUUGCAAGUCAAUGGCAGAUUUUUUUUUUUUCCUUUUUGAGACAGUCUCGCUUUGUUGCCCAGGCUAGAGUGUAUGGUGUGAUCUCAGCUCACUGCAACCUCAGCCUCCUGGGUUCAAGUGAUCCAUUCUCCUGCCUCAGCCUCCCGAGUAGCUGGGACUACAGGCAUGUGCCACCAUGCCCAGCUAAUUUUUGUAUUUUUAGUAGAAACGGGGUUUUGCCAUGUUGGCCAGGCUGCUCUCGAAUUCCUGACCUCAAGUGAUCCCCUCGCCUUGGCCUCCCAAAAUGCUGGGAUUACAGGCAUGAACCACCACACCGGCCAAUUUUUUGUGGUUUUCGUAGAGACAGGAUUUCAUUACGUUGGCCAAAUUGGUCUCAAACUCCUGUCCUCGUGAUCCACCCGCCUCGGCUCUCCAAAGUGCUGGGGGAUUACAGGCGUGAGCCAAUGCGCCAGGCCAAUAAUCACUGCUGGCAUUCUUGAGUGCCCAUAUGUGCCACACACUGUUUUUGCAAAAAUUAUAACUGAAGAAAUUAUGACAGUGAAAGAGAUCAGACCUAACCAACUCCAUCUUGCUUCUAACCUUUAAGCUGUCCUUGUACAUUCCUGGGCAUAGGCCGAACUAACUUUGGGAAGGAAUUCUGUUCAUGGUUUGACUCCGAAACAAAAUUGAUAACAGCCCUUUUCCAAGGCCCCCUUCUUGCCUGGGGACCAGUCUGCCUUUGCAGGGCUAACACAUUAGCUACAAGAUUAGAAAUUACGGGUUAGUGGUAAUGCAGCCUCUGGCUCCAAGAGUCUGAACCUCCUCAAAUUGCUCCUGGGGAUAACAUCACUAUUGUAAAACCUAAGAUCAGUGCUUGAGAUAUUUUGUAGACCCUGCACUUGAUGGAUCAGCUGACAUCACCCGGACUGGUUAUCUGGCUCAACCUGUUCUGCCAUCCCACCCAGGAACAGAAGACAGUAAGAAAAACUCACUUUGACCCCAUAUGAUUCCAUCUCCAACCUGAUCCAUCAGCACUCCCCACUUCCCGAGCCCCUACCCGCCAAAUUAUCUUUAAAAACUCUGCUCUCCGAAUGCUCCGGGAGACUGAUUUGAGUAAUAAUAAAACUCCAGUCUCCCUCUCCCGCACAGCCAGCUGUGUGUGAAUUACUCUUUCUCCACUGCAAUUCCCCUGUCUUGAUAAAUUAGCUCUGUCUAGGCAGCAGGCAAGGUGAACCCACUGGGCAGUUACAUAUUUACAUUUAUUUAUUUGUUUGUUGAGACAAGGUCUGUCACCCAGCCUGGGGUGCAGUGAUGUGAUCUCUGCUCACUGCAGCCUUGACUUCCCGGGCUCAAGCCAUCCUCCCACCUCAGCCUCCCAAGUAGCUGGGACUACAGGUGCACGACACCAUGCCUGGUUAAUUUUCAUAUUUUUUGUAGAGGUGGGGUUUCACCAUAUUGCCCAGGCUGGCCUCAAACUCCUGGACUCAAGAGAUCCCUCUGCCUCAGCCUCCCAAAGUGCUAGGAUUACAGGCAGGAGCCACCGUUCCCAGCCCUUGCCUUACAUUUAAUCUUCACUAUUAAUACACACAUGUUAUAAAUGAGAGCAUCAAAGUAUGGAGAGCAGAAGCAACUUGUCCAAGGUCAUACGCAACUAGAAAGGAGUGUAACUGAUAUUUAAACCCUAACAGUCUGGUUCCAGAAUCUGUGCUUUUAAAGUCAAGAUGAAAAGCAUGUCUGGGCCUUGACCCUUGGAACCCACCCCUACCACACAGGCUUUAGCUAGCAGAGGGGCAGCAAAGGAAGACAGCAAGAGGUGGCCUCUGGUCGUAGCUCUUUGUGGUUUGCCAAGGCUUUCUGGUUCACUGACUCAAAAGGGUUUGGGGCUUUACAGACUGGUAAGAUCUCCCAAACUGGGUAGUUGUACUUUAAUUUUGUUAAGUAAAAACAUUUUUAAAAAUCUGCUAACAUCACUAUCAUUUCAUAAAGUAAAUGUAAUUUCAAUGCAAAUAAACCCCAAGAAAGACACAAUCUCAGAGUACAGUCCAGGCCUUUAGGUUGAAUAAAUCUACCUUUGUAAACACCUCCUUUCGUUGUCCUGAUUUUCCUCAUCUCACCGUGGGCUGGUGAAAACGUCCUCAUGUGUAGCACCUGUUUAAGGACUGCCAUCCAGGAACCACUGUGGUACUUCAUACGAUCCCCAUAAACCCUCUGCAAGGUAGACAGGGAAAGUCUUGUUUACCCCACUCUACUAACGAAGAAAUCGAGGCUCAGAGAAGUCUUGUUUAAGGACACACAGCCUGAAAAAUGGCAGGGCCAGGUUACAAACCCAUGUUUUCAGACUGCAGGGGUCCAGUGCUCUUUCCUUCUAUACCUCAAAGCGUUCACAAAAUGCACUCACUGACCACUGGCUUGGUUGCUGUGUGAGGACCUAAAUGUUCAGAAAGAGAAGAAGCAUUUCCAACUGCCAGCUACCUUGCCGCCAGACUUCUUCCCCACUGGCUUACGAGGGUGCACUGUCAGCCCCAGCCCCCUGAGCCACAGCAUUCAGUAUCUAAAGCUGUAAUCUCUCCACUGCAGAGUGAGAAUGAAGAUACUGGCCACCCAGGUGGUUGUAAGGCUAAAACCACCACCUUUAAAGAUCGCUUGGCACAGUGCUGGCCACAGUGGGGCUCAUCACCACGUUUCUCACCUUCCCUUCCUCAGCCCUUGGAAAUGUGCAAGUAUAGUACAACCUACAAAGGCAAAUCCAUGUGGUAUAGUGCUCUGCACAGUGCAAUCCCUGUGUAAACAUUUCUAGACACAGAAAUGUCAGCUGGGGCAUUAUUUUGCUCAGGCUGACACUGAGGAAGACAUUUCCUGGAUUUUUUUCCUGUGCCCAUGGUGAGGUCCAAAGUGACCCAAAUACCACCUAAAUCCCUGGAUGCUAAACUCCUUGAGGGCAGAGACAGAGUUAUGAACCUCUGGGUCUCCCCAUAGGUCCAACCCAGCACUAGGUCUUCAGUGGCGUCUCUAAGAAUGUCAGUUGGUCAAUUUGUUAUUCAAUGGGCACAUGACAAGUUGCAGGAGUGCACAGGUGCUUUCAGGGUAUCAUCAUCUCAAACAGAAACAGCAUUGUUUCAAAGAGCCUGUAGGAGUCCAGAAGAAAUACAGGACUUUCUUCUUCCUUUUGCAAAAGCUGGCAGUUUAAAGCCACAGGGCAUUAGAUCAAGAAUGCCAUGAGGCUGACCAGUGAGGGGCUUGACUUUGAGGGCUCUGGGCUGGUUGGGCUGGCCAUGCUUACACUUGGAAAGCAGUAGGACCCAUUCCCUGGUUUUGAGCAUUCAAAGUAGCCUUGGCUUACUCUCUGCUCUGAGUUCUCACUUCAGUCUUCCUAUUCUGAGGUUCAAAGAACUGCAAAUAGUCCUCAGACAAAGCCUGUGGGGUGUCUCCCCAGAUUCCAGGAACUCUCCAAAUCAGAUAGACCAGGAUUAUGAAACUCAGCCUCUUCUAUGAAGGGUCCCACUGGAUCCCAUAAUAAGUGGGAAUUCUACCCUCAGCCCAGACUCUCCGGACUCCAGCCCAAUCUCAGUCUUAACCUCAGGGUUCCAGCUUUCCUCCGUCCAUUGCCACAUCAAACUCACCUGUUCUGGGUUUGCAUGUCAGGUACAUUUUCUGAUCAAUAUGCAUUUGCCUAUUCCUAUUCUGUGACUAAGGUAUUCCUUGGGUAUUGAUGGGUCUGCCUGCGUGUGUUCUCAAAUCUAAAGUCAUCAGCUACCCUUUGAACAUUGUAAGCAUGUUAUAUACAGGUUAUUUUUGCCUUUAGUUAUCUCAGUAACAUUAUAUUCCAUGUUAUAUGGCAUUUAAACUAUCUGGGUGGUCUUGUAUAUAAUACUUUACUUCCUUCAGAACCACAGGAAAAACUAAUUGCUAUUACUUCUGUGAGAGAUGGGGAUUCUCAAGGGACUUGCCCGUCAGUUUACAAAGUAGUGAUGGGGCUGGGCGUGGUGGCUAAUGCCUGUAAUCCCAGCACUUUGGGAGGCUGAGGCGGGCGGAUCGUUUGAGAUCAGGAGUUCCAGAUCAGACUGACCAGCAUGGGUAAACUCCAUCUCUACUAAAAAUACAAAAAUUAGCUGGGUGUGGUGGCGCAUGACUGUAAUCCCAGCUACUCAGGAGGCUGAGGCAUGAGAAUCACCUGAACCCGGAGGCAGAGGUUGCAGUGAGCUGAGAUUGCACCACUGUACUCCAGCCUGGGCAACAGAGGGAGACUCUGUCUCAAAAAAAAAAAAAAAAAAAAAAAGGAGCAAAGCCUCUGGCUCUUGUGUCAGCAGUCUCACCAGCCAGGGCUCUGUUUGUGUUCUGUAGUAGCCCCCACAGGGCUACAGGCGAAUAUAUUGCAGUUGCAGCCAGUAAGGAUGAUGCAACUGAGAAAGGCUGGCGGGCAGGUGGGUGCAGCCGGGGAUGGCCAGGGAUAGCCAGCCAGGCAGGGAACUCCUGAGCUGAGACUGCUGAAAGAUGGAUACUUCUGGGCCCCAGAAACAGCUCUUGGCUCCCAAAUACCCUCUCAGCUUCCUGAAAACCUCUAAAUAGCUAGGCGCAGUGGCUCAUGCCUGUAAUCCCAGCACUCUGGGAGGCUGAGGCAGGCGGAUCACUUGAGACCAGGAGUUCAAGACAAGCCUGGCCAACAUGGUGAAACCCCAUCUCUACUAAAAAUACAAAAAUUAGUUGGCCAUGGUGGCACGCACCUGUAAUCCCAGCUACUCGGGAGUCUGAGGCAGGAGAAUCACUUGAACCCAGGAGGCAGAAGUUGCAGUGAGCCGAGAUUGUGCCAUUGCACUCCAGCCUGGUCGUCAGAGUGAGACUCCGUCUCAAACAAAAAACAAGAAACAAAAAACAAGCCUCUAAAUAGGGAAUAAAUCUUUACAGUUCAAGUUGACAGACCUGGGUGCAAAUCCCAGCUGGGCUCCUCACUGGCUGUGUGAACUUGGGCAGGAUACCUAACCUCUCUGAAAUUUUGUUUAAUCAUAUGUUUUU